UACGUAGGGGCCUAGCGUUGUCCGGAAUUAUUGGGCGUAAAGAGCUCGUAGGCGGUUCGGCAAGUCGGAUGUGAAAUCUCCACGCUUAACGUGGAGGGGCCAUUCGAAACUGCUGUGACUCGAGUCCGGUAGGGGAGUGUGGAAUUCCCGGUGUAGCGGUGAAAUGCGCAGAUAUCGGGAGGAACACCAGUAGCGAAGGCGGCACUCUGGGCCGGUGCUGACGCUGAGGAGCGAAAGCGUGGGGAGCGAACAGG
RNAcentral lists this ribosomal RNA (254 nucleotides) under uncultured bacterium. Its description in RNAcentral is "partial 16S ribosomal RNA". It matches the Rfam family "Bacterial small subunit ribosomal RNA", at positions 524 to 776 of the family's 1533-position model. The record is from RNAcentral.